RNAcentral lists this ribosomal RNA (253 nucleotides) under uncultured bacterium. RNAcentral describes it as "partial 16S ribosomal RNA". It matches the Rfam family "Bacterial small subunit ribosomal RNA", at positions 524 to 776 of the family's 1533-position model. The record is from RNAcentral.
UACGAACUGUGCAAACGUUAUUCGGAAUCACUGGGCUUAAAGGGUGCGUAGGCGGCUUUGAAGGUCUGAUGUGAAAGCCCACGGCUCAACCGUGGAAUUGCGUUGGAAACCACAAAGCUUGAGGAGAUCAGAGGUGAGCGGAACUGAUGGUGGAGCGGUGAAAUGCGUUGAUAUCAUCAGGAACACCGGUGGCGAAAGCGGCUCACUGGGAUCUUUCUGACGCUGAGGCACGAAAGCCAGGGGAGCGAACGGG